Molecule: RNase P RNA, 365 nt
Filed under: Puniceicoccales bacterium
Lineage: Bacteria; Pseudomonadati; Verrucomicrobiota; Opitutia; Puniceicoccales
Description: RNase P RNA component class A
Rfam family: Bacterial RNase P class A
About the family: Ribonuclease P (RNase P) is a ubiquitous endoribonuclease, found in archaea, bacteria and eukarya as well as chloroplasts and mitochondria. Its best characterised activity is the generation of mature 5'-ends of tRNAs by cleaving the 5'-leader elements of precursor-tRNAs. Cellular RNase Ps are ribonucleoproteins.
Source: RNAcentral
GGGAAUUCGAUGGGGAAAGGGAUAUUUGCAAAAAUAUUUCUUUUUCCAUAGGAAAGUCCGGACACCGUAGAGCAUGAUUCCAUAUGAAAGUAUGGGGAGUGAAUAUGAGAAUAUUCAUUCACGGAGAGUACAACAGAAAAUAUACCGCCGCAAGGUAAGGGUGAAAAGGUAGAGGUAAGAGCUCACCGGGUAUUGAGUAAUCGAUAUCGCUUUGGAAACCCAAUCAGGUGCAAGACAGAAUAAGGAAUGGAGUAGCUCGCUCAAUGAUUCCGGGUUAGUCGCACCUCUUUUUGAGGAAUAACUUACAAAAGUUAUUAGAUAAAUGAAUUCCAAGCUAUUUAGCUUACAAAAUCUGGCUUAUAUCU